Molecule: unclassified non-coding RNA, 304 nt
Filed under: plant metagenome
Description: partial contains 5.8S ribosomal RNA, internal transcribed spacer 2, and large subunit ribosomal RNA
Rfam family: 5.8S ribosomal RNA (bases 1-106)
Source: RNAcentral
CGAAAUGCGAUAAGUAAUGUGAAUUGCAGAAUUCAGUGAAUCAUCGAAUCUUUGAACGCACAUUGCGCCCGCCAGUAUUCUGGCGGGCAUGCCUGUUCGAGCGUCAUUUCAACCAUCAAGCCCCCGGCUUGUGUUGGGGACCUGCGGCUGCCCGCAGGCCCUGAAAACCAGUGGCGGGCUCGCUGUCACACCGAGCGUAGUAGCAUACAUCUCGCUCAGGGCGUGCUGCGGGUUCCGGCCGUUAAAAGCCUUUUUUACCCAAGGUUGACCUCGGAUCAGGUAGGAAGACCCGCUGAACUUAAGC